This 955-nucleotide ribosomal RNA is filed under the name Campylobacter jejuni. RNAcentral's name for it is "bacterial SSU rRNA". It matches the Rfam family "Bacterial small subunit ribosomal RNA", at positions 578 to 1533 of the family's 1533-position model. The record is from RNAcentral. Lineage: Bacteria; Pseudomonadati; Campylobacterota; Epsilonproteobacteria; Campylobacterales; Campylobacteraceae.
GAUUAUCAAGUCUCUUGUGAAAUCUAAUGGCUUAACCAUUAAACUGCUUGGGAAACUGAUAGUCUAGAGUGAGGGAGAGGCAGAUGGAAUUGGUGGUGUAGGGGUAAAAUCCGUAGAUAUCACCAAGAAUACCCAUUGCGAAGGCGAUCUGCUGGAACUCAACUGACGCUAAGGCGCGAAAGCGUGGGGAGCAAACAGGAUUAGAUACCCUGGUAGUCCACGCCCUAAACGAUGUACACUAGUUGUUGGGGUGCUAGUCAUCUCAGUAAUGCAGCUAACGCAUUAAGUGUACCGCCUGGGGAGUACGGUCGCAAGAUUAAAACUCAAAGGAAUAGACGGGGACCCGCACAAGCGGUGGAGCAUGUGGUUUAAUUCGAAGAUACGCGAAGAACCUUACCUGGGCUUGAUAUCCUAAGAACCUUUUAGAGAUAAGAGGGUGCUAGCUUGCUAGAACUUAGAGACAGGUGCUGCACGGCUGUCGUCAGCUCGUGUCGUGAGAUGUUGGGUUAAGUCCCGCAACGAGCGCAACCCACGUAUUUAGUUGCUAACGGUUCGGCCGAGCACUCUAAAUAGACUGCCUUCGUAAGGAGGAGGAAGGUGUGGACGACGUCAAGUCAUCAUGGCCCUUAUGCCCAGGGCGACACACGUGCUACAAUGGCAUAUACAAUGAGACGCAAUACCGCGAGGUGGAGCAAAUCUAUAAAAUAUGUCCCAGUUCGGAUUGUUCUCUGCAACUCGAGAGCAUGAAGCCGGAAUCGCUAGUAAUCGUAGAUCAGCCAUGCUACGGUGAAUACGUUCCCGGGUCUUGUACUCACCGCCCGUCACACCAUGGGAGUUGAUUUCACUCGAAGCCGGAAUACUAAACUAGUUACCGUCCACAGUGGAAUCAGCGACUGGGGUGAAGUCGUAACAAGGUAACCGUAGGAGAACCUGCGGUUGGAUCACCUCCUUUCUA